This 369-nucleotide ribosomal RNA is filed under the name cf. Acaphyllisa sp. SC5 1. RNAcentral describes it as "partial small subunit ribosomal RNA". Lineage: Eukaryota; Metazoa; Arthropoda; Arachnida; Trombidiformes; Eriophyidae. The record is from RNAcentral.
UUUAUUUUUGUUAAAAGUGACGGGCGAUAUGUGCAUGUUAAAUUUCUCAUUCAUUUCUUAUUAACUUAUUUUCAAAAAUUAUUGUUAAAUCCUUUUUGAUUUUUUUUUAGUUCUUGACUCUUUUAAGAGUUAAAGCAUUCCACAAACUUUCAUUUAUAGUCUUUGUCUUGAUUUGUUUUUUCAUCUUUAAUGAUUAUUAAGAGAAUUUUAACUUUUUUUUUUUCUUUAAAACAAUGAUAUAAAGAAUAAAAAAAUGAAUAGAUUUAAUCGUGGGUUAUCGAUUAUGCUGCAGAAUUCUCUAAAUAGCUUUGACACCGCCAUUUUAGUUAGAUUUCUUUUAAAUAAAUACUAUCUUUUUUUGUCCUAAAA